RNAcentral lists this ribosomal RNA (460 nucleotides) under uncultured bacterium. RNAcentral's name for it is "partial 16S ribosomal RNA". It matches the Rfam family "Bacterial small subunit ribosomal RNA", at positions 338 to 795 of the family's 1533-position model. The record is from RNAcentral.
CCUACGGGAGGCAGCAGUGAGGAAUAUUGGUCAAUGGACGAGAGUCUGAACCAGCCAAGUAGCGUGAAGGAUGACUGCCCUAUGGGUUGUAAACUUCUUUUAUAUGGGAAUAAAACGUUCCACGUGUGGGAUUUUGUAUGUACCAUAUGCAUAAGGAUCGGCUAACUCCGUGCCAGCAGCCGCGGUAAUACGGAGGAUCCGAGCGUUAUCCGGAUUUAUUGGGUUUAAAGGGAGCGUAGGUGGAUUGUUAAGUCAGUUGUGAAAGUUUGCGGCUCAACCGUAAAAUUGCAGUUGAAACUGGCAGUCUUGAGUACAGUAGAGGUGGGCGGAAUUCGUGGUGUAGCGGUGAAAUGCUUAGAUAUCACGAAGAACUCCGAUUGCGAAGGCAGUUCACUGGACUGCAACUGACACUGAGGCUCGAAAGUGUGGGUAUCAAACAGGAUUAGAUACCCUAGUAGUC